UUGACCUCGUCUUUGGCUGCCUCGUUUUCAAUCUGGAGGCGUGUCAGCUCCUCCUGGAUCUUCUCGUAGUCCCUUCUCGUGGACGCCAGAAGCUGGGGAGAGGAGAAGGCCAGGAACCUGGCACCCUCCUGCCGUUCUGGGAUGAGUUGGGAGAGCAGACACCAUAUCCGUCCCAGCUUUCUUCUCCACGUGGCUACCCUGCCUCAGGACUCAGGACCUUAAAGCUAACACCUUGGGGAAGAGUGUUACAGGUGUAGCCAACAGUGAUAGAGGACCAGCACGCCUUCUUCACUUGGAGGCAGACACCGAUGUGGUUAUCUUAGAAACAUCUACGGCAGAAUGAGGAGACACUCCUUUCGGCUCUCAAGUGUCAUCACCUUCCCAGCAGCCCUCAGGCCCUCCAUCUUGAAUGUCCAGUCUGCACAUGAAGAGGUGCACACUUAGGUUCUAAGAGGACUAAGCAUCUCUCCUUCAACAGUUGAGCUGAGCACUCCCGUCUAACACUCUGGAAGGUGUCCCCAUCACACGCACUUGACCAAGCCCUUGAUGUGUCAGAGAACAACACCUACAGCCAGGCCAGUGGCUCGGCGAGCCCCGCCCUCGCCUGUCUCCUCACUCAUCUCUUCUGCUUAUAUUCACUGGCCGCAGCUCUAAGUGACGUGCACACUCAGAGUCUCUUCUAAUGACUCUGGCCUCCUUAAGGAGUCAGAAGAUGCUUGCUCUCGGUACCUCUCGCUUUGGCACCUUCCUUUGCUCUCCAGGGGUUCCAGAGAGUACUCAUAUUUGAAAAGGGAGGCUCUAGACAUCCUCACAGCUUCAGUGCAUAGGAAAAGUCUGCACUACAUGCUCUACACAGGAAAUGUUGGGUGGGGGUAGAGAGAAAGGGCAGAGGACUGUGGUCUCUGUGGAGGGUAGUCCAGUAUCCCAGUUCCAUCUACCAGGGUUUACUGAGGAAAUCAGUAAUUGGAAAUCUGUGGCUGGGGCACAGAGAGAGACAGAGAAGGAUAUCUAGCAUAUCUCCUUAGUUUUCUAAGGUAACUGGCUCAUGCAUCUGUGGGUGCCACAAAGCUAAGUCACGUCUAAGCAGCGGGCUUGAAAUGCAGGUGCAAGUGUGUAUUCUGGUCUUCAGUUCUCCCCAAGUAACAUCAGCUUGGCUCUUCAAGGCCUCUGAAUGAUCAGGAGGGCCAUGCUCAUGACCCGGGGUCAUCUACUUGACUCAGUCAGCUGAGUGCAAACAUUGGCCCCCUAAAAACACCAUCAGAGCAAUAGCUGGAUCUAUGUUUGAUGAAAGAGCUUAGCCAUUUGGGUGUGAAAUUUACACCACAACUUCUGAUCUGCCCGAGUCCUGCUGCUGGGUAAACAGCUACACAUUCCUCGGAACUCAUUUCUGCUCCAAAGCACUCUCCAGGCCUGGAAAGGGUUCUGCCUCUUAGGAAAAGGUUAGCCUCGAAGGAGAAAUUAAAGCUCUUGUGACCAGUGAAGAACUGGCCUCUAAUUACACUAUACACCAAACGUUCUCUUCCCCCAAGGGCUAAGGCUACCCCACUGAGGUCCCAGAAACUGCUUCUCCACAGAGGAACAACUUUGUAAUGGAUUUCAAAUUCCAAAUACUGGAGUUAAAAGUGGUUAUCAAUGCUGAGAUAUACGUGUGUGAAAUCCUACGGAGCUAAAGGAGAGGCUUCGAGUCCACAAAGCACAACAGUGGCUGCACCAACGAGCUGGGUGUUUCGCUUCGCUCUGUUUUGCAUCACUAUUCUUCUGACAGGAGCAUCCCUGACCACCACUGAAAACACAAUCCUAGUUACCUUGCUAAAUAACACCUCAAGUUUACAGGUCAUCUGAUAGAUGCAAUGUAAUAAUUAUCGGCCAUUUUGGCCACUGCCCCCAAGCCAUUCACACCCACACUCUAUUUCCUAGCUCAGAGCAUGGGUUCUGAGAACCCCACACGCACCUCUGUCCAAACAUCAGCGUGGACUUGGUCUCGGCCUCAUUGAAGACUGAAGGAGAACAGCAGAUGACAAUGGUGGUCCUACAGUUCCCACCCAGGGAGUCCUGGAGAAUCCGAGUCAUCUUGCUGUCCCGGUAUGGCACAUGCGUUUUCUAUUUAAGAAGAGAAGGAGCAUUGGCUUUGACAGCCCAUUCAAAGAAAAACUACAGAAGCAAGCUGGCCAAACUUAGAAACAUGUGGGAUGAGGAUCUGCAGCCAGGACUUUGGACCUUGCCAAAGACUGUCCAUGCUGUGACCCAUGUCAUAGGAAGUUAGCGUCACCAUUCAUACUUCCUAGUGGAGUGGAGCUCCCAGCAACAGACACUCCAGCCAGAAAUACCUCUUCCGAAGAGGAAAAUAAAUGAGCGUCUGGGAAUGUGUGACAAUCCAUCCCAAUAAGAAUACACAAAUCCCAAAGGCUGCUUCCCAUAAUACUGUGUAAUAGAUGGUGACAGGAUUACUUACUGUCCCUUCUGCCAAGGCAGAGAUCACAUUUCCGAGAGCAGACAAAGACUUGUUGAUAUUUUUAGCUUCAUCAAGAACAGCUCCCUCGGCACCCGUUUUGCUGACCUACCAAGGGACAGAAAAGGCAGUGAGGACCGUGUGAGCGCAGAGCAGAAAAUCUGCGCGCACAGAGGGGCAGCAGGCCGGCCCUGCAGGAGAGCAGGGAGUGAAGGUGAGGAAGAACCACCCCACGCAGCCGUCCCCGGAGCCGGAAGCUGGCGCUCUGAGCUCUCCCACUGUCAUUUUCCUCUCAAUUGGGUUUUAGUGAAAUGGCUGAAAUGCGUAAGCGGGAGAACUGUAGAUACUUCCCUGGGGGACAUCCAUCCAGGAAAAGCAGGCUCCUGGAGUGCUGUCACCACAGUGAGCGGGUCCUGGGGGACUAAACACAGCCUCCCAGUUACAUGGGGUCUGGUGCGGCACGGUGAGGAAAAUAUGUAUGAGCCCAAAUUUCAGGCAAAAGACUGAGGAGUGGGAAUGGGUGUCUGACUUGGUUCCUUCUCUACUUUUUUUCUGUAACAUGGAGGGAGACAGUGGGGAGCAAAGAGAGGGAAGAAAGAGAGUCUAAAAUGCAAAGGCUUGGGGAGACACGAAGAGACAAGGACAUAUGUGCUAUACUAUAAAUGUAUAAAUUUGAUUUUUCUUCUAUGGCCCACUAUACACGGUGCCUCCUCUACUGCAGUAGUACAGAUAAUUUCACAUUUUCAGCAUUUAAUCUAGAUAGAGAGGUUUACAAAUGCCGCCAAUUUUUUUAAAGGAAAGGAAAGGGUUUAGUAAGAUUUAUUCUGGCUGUCUGAAUAAAAGCAGGGUGAACAGCUGCUCUCUAAGAAAGAGAAAAAAUAGAAGGAGGGAAAAAUAACUUUAAACUGAACAAUGGAUGGAUUCAAAUAUAUAUAAAGGAGAUCCCUGCACCUCCCAACAACAGAGGGGAGUGUUGUCCAGGAGCGAGGUUCUGAAAAGUCCAGGCUUCUGCCCCAAAACUAUGGAGGGCAGCCUGCUUGCAGACAGAACAUCAUGGGGUAAUGGGCCACAAAAAUCAGCAGCCUAUUACAGGCAUUUUCAGAUGCAUUCUAAUUUGAGCAUCUUAACUCUAUGAAAUAUUCAAAGCAGGCACCAUCCACCACCUUCUUUGGCAGACAAGGACAGUGAACCCCAGAGAUACCACUCUGGCACCCUAAGAGAAGGAUGACCCUUUGGGGUGAUGGGAUCGGAAGCCCAGAGCUCUGUUCUCAAGACAGUACAUUCAUACGGACUCAUCCUGGGAAAAGGAAAAAAAAAUAUGAAGAAAAAACCAAGCAGGGACGCUUGAAACCCCUCAUAAGUACCCUUAACAAGUAGCAGCAACGGCCAGUGGGAGGCAGUUGUCAGGUGUACUUCAGCCCUAAAUAACUCAUCGUUACAUGGCUCUCUGUAGCCUGCACCCAGCAUGGCGGUCCAGUCAGUGGCCAGUAUAGAGCCAUGGACAGUGUGCUCCCUUCAUCCUGAUGCAUGGCUGAGAAUUGUGGCCAGCCCACAGACAGAACACUUGAGAUGCACGCAGACAAGUAAGAGGACAAUUCAAAAACCAUGACUUACAGGGACGUUUGUAGCCAUAAUUAGGGUUCAGGAACUUAGCAGUGUGAGGCAGUAAGUGGCAACCACCUGUACAGCUAGGGAGACUGACAGAGCUUCAGGGCCUGCCCUGAUGAGGACAACCAGCUGAUGUCACUGAUGAUGGCAGAAAUAGGAAUUGUGCGUGUGUGCUGGCUCUAUGAUGCUGGCUACAGGGGUUGUGCCCCACCAGAGUAUGGCUAAGGGAACAUCCCUGGGUGCUUAGGAAAGGGGGUGGUGUGGGAAGGGUAGUGAUUCUGGAUGUGGUCUUAGCCAGUGCCUGGGAGCACAGAACAGAGCACAGGUGUAGAAAGAGGAUCACAACAAACCAAAGAAGGCUUCCCAACCCAGAGGACCCAAGGCCACUCGUGAGCUCUGUUACUUCAAUUCCACUGCCACUGGAUAGGAACACUGGCAGAGACCAGGUCAAAGUGCAGAAGCAGGCCAACCAUGUAUGUCCCAGGGGCAGAGCCCUCCCCAGUCUACUACUUGUAAUCGAUACGACAGAUGGCUCCUUCCAUCCUAAGGAUGCCCAUCCCAACGUUGGGCAGCUGCCUUGCCAGGCUAUGUCAUAUUAACACUUGCUUAAAGCCACAGGCUACAAAGCAUAAAUAAAUCUGAGCCUCUGACAUGAACUGGGGACUCAGCCCACAGGACAAAAUGAGAAGGCAAAGAAACCUGAUGGUACCACUCCUCGACAUUUUAAACCUCUUUAAAAUCAGUAAGUAAAAGGCACAAAACUUAUGCCACUGUACACGUGAGCAAAUAACAGAGGGAAGUUAUAGAUAAUAUAAAAACCAAAAUUACCUUUUCACUCCCGGCCAAAUCAACCAAAUACAGCUUCCCGCUGAGUUUUUUUUCAGUCUCCACAUUCUCUUGCUUAAUGUUUAUCAGGAAGAUACUGUGACUCCGAGAGCUGUGUUCGUUCAUGUCUGAAAAGGAAAAUGGUUUACUGCUCCGCAGAGAGCAUGACAGCAAAGGGAGGAAAGCUCUAGUCUUUAAAACACAGCCAAUCAUGUCGCCACAGUACAGCUCUCUGCAGUCAGCGAAGCCAAUUUUGGGAUGUAUCUGAGGCCACUGUUUCUUUUAAAAGGAAACAAAGCAAAACAUAAAACAAGAAACAAAAAUCCCACUCAUUGUAGAGAGGACAGUUUUACAAUGCCUUCAAAUAACAAAGGAAUUAUCCUAACAUUCUUGGGUUCUAUAAGAGAGCAGGCUGAGCAAGCCAGGGGAAGCAAGCCAGUAAGUAACAUCCCUCCAUGGCCUCUGCAUCAGCUCCUGCUUCCCGACCUGCUUGAGUUCCAGUCAUGACUUCCUUUAGUGAUGAACUGCAACAUGGAAGUGUAAGCUCAA
Long non-coding RNA from Apodemus sylvaticus (European woodmouse), 5431 nucleotides. RefSeq lists it as uncharacterized. The transcript is spliced from 4 exons. Lineage: Eukaryota; Metazoa; Chordata; Mammalia; Rodentia; Muridae. The record is from RefSeq and is a predicted model, not a curated record.